CGUUUUGCAAACAUGUUUUGAUUUUGUUGUUGUCAAAUGCCACUGUAGCAAAUAAUAAAAUCAGGCCGAGAAUUAAUUGCCACAGAAAUCAAAAAGUUAGGCGCAAAAGUUUUUAGCCAUUCCUGUUCCGACAGCAGGCGGCAGGCGGCAGGCGGCAAAAACAAAAAGGCCAUAAACGAACGAAAAAAGAAACAGGCAACUUCGGAAUGGCUUGGAAUGGUGAGCCAUUUUGCUGUAAUAAUCGAAACUUUUGCGCCAAACAAACUGAACAACACCACUCAAAGCGGCAAGUCCUUACGGUUCAGCUCGACGGGGGCGGCGCAAAUACACCGAAGGGACGUUUGCGGAGUUCGCCAGUGCUGCUGAGUGCACGAAUGGCGAGGGCGGUCUGAGUGGGGAGCUGCGUGAGUUCGCUGCGUAAACGAAGGAAUGAUUGAGUGUCUGAUGGCGGGAGCGUGCUUUUGCUGCAACGCGUGUGGCCACUGAGUGCUCCGCAUAGUCUCCUGCCUCCAUGUAACACACUUAGCUAUCUAUCUAUAUAUAGUACAUAUGUUUGCCCAAAUUGUGCGUAAAUUUCGUGAAAUUUUAAUUAUUACGAAUGUCUGUAAUAAAACUUCAUUAAAAUAA
This is a long non-coding RNA of Zeugodacus cucurbitae (melon fly), 627 nucleotides long. RefSeq lists it as uncharacterized. Lineage: Eukaryota; Metazoa; Arthropoda; Insecta; Diptera; Tephritidae. The record is from RefSeq and is a predicted model, not a curated record. The transcript is spliced from 2 exons.